UCCUGGUGUAGCGGUGAUAUGCGCAGAUAUCAGGAAGAACACCGAUGGCGAAGGCAGGUCUCUGGGCCAUUACUGACACUGAGAAGCGAAAGCAUGGGGAGCGAACAGGAUUAGAUACCCUGGUAGUCCAUGCCGUAAACGUUGGGCACUAGGUGUGGGGAACAUUCCACGUUUUCCGCGCCGUAGCUAACGCAUUAAGUGCCCCGCCUGGGGAGUACGGCCGCAAGGCUAAAACUCAAAGGAAUUGACGGGGGCCCGCACAAGCGGCGGAGCAUGCGGAUUAAUUCGAUGCAACGCGAAGAACCUUACCAAGGCUUGACAUGCACCGGACGACUCCAGAGAUGGGGUUUUCUUCGGACUGGUGCACAGGUGGUGCAUGGUUGUCGUCAGCUCGUGUCGUGAGAUGUUGGGUUAAGUCCCGCAACGAGCGCAACCCUCGUUCCAUGUUGCCAGCGCGUUAUGGCGGGGACUCAUGGGAGACUGCCGGGGUCAACUCGGAGGAAGGUGGGGACGACGUCAAAUCAUCAUGCCCCUUAUGUCUUGGGCUUCACGCAUGCUACAAUGGUCGGUACAAUGGGUUGCGAAACUGUGAGGUGGAGCGAAUCCCAAAAAGCCGGUCUCAGUUCGGAUUGGGGUCUGCAACUCGACCCCAUGAAGUCGGAGUCGCUAGUAAUCGCAGAUCAGCAACGCUGCGGUGAAUACGUUCCCGGGCCUUGUACACACCGCCCGUCAAGUCACGAAAGUCGGAACACCCGAAGCC
Molecule: ribosomal RNA, 760 nt
Filed under: Dermabacteraceae bacterium SM51
Lineage: Bacteria; Bacillati; Actinomycetota; Actinomycetes; Micrococcales; Dermabacteraceae
Description: bacterial SSU rRNA
Rfam family: Bacterial small subunit ribosomal RNA
Source: RNAcentral